AGCUCCAAGAGCGUAUAUUAAAGUUGUUGCAGUUAAAAAGCUCGUAGUUGAACUUCCCCCGGCGCGGGCCCCUGUUUUUCGGGGGACUUGGGCCGGGGUCCUUCGGGAAAUUACUUUGAGUAAACGAGAGUGUUCAAAGCAGGCGCGCAGCCUGAAUCUUCAAGCAUGGAAUAAUAAAACAGGACAAUGGUUCUAUUUUGUUGGUUAUAAGCCAUCGUAAUGAUUAAUAGGGACGGUCGGGGGCAUCAGUAUUCAGUAGUCAGAGGUGAAAUUCUUAGAUUUACUGAAGACUAACUACUGCGAAAGCAUUUGCCAAGGACGUUUUCA
Molecule: ribosomal RNA, 327 nt
Filed under: uncultured eukaryote
Lineage: Eukaryota
Also listed under: 1 other name
Description: SSU rRNA
Rfam family: Eukaryotic small subunit ribosomal RNA
Source: RNAcentral